Salvia miltiorrhiza (redroot sage) is the source of this 579-nucleotide long non-coding RNA. RefSeq lists it as uncharacterized. The record is from RefSeq and is a predicted model, not a curated record. The transcript is spliced from 3 exons. Lineage: Eukaryota; Viridiplantae; Streptophyta; Magnoliopsida; Lamiales; Lamiaceae.
UGGAAAGGGUUAUUCCACAUCGCCAUUUUUCCGCUACAAAAUCCUCAAGACUUUCCCAACUUCUUCACACAGUUCCAAAUUUAUUUCUACUCACCCAGAUUUUCUUCCAAUAAAUUUUACAACUUUCUUUCACAGAUUCGAUGCCACGAGCUGUGUAAACUUUGAGCAGAUUCAUAUCACAUAGAGGCCCACUUGAUAGAAGACUUUAGCACUGAUCUUACAAGAAGAGAAUUGUGCAAGAUUUAUCUACAAGCUUGUUAUCAAGGUUGAGCGGCAGAUGGUGACGUGCGAAGCUGAGGGAGGGUGUUGCUGUAUUUUCAGAUAAAUGCCAAGAAUAAAUUAUGCUGCCAUACUCUUAGAUGAAUAAUAUUUGGGAUUGGAUAUUUUAAUAUUCAUAGCCUAUUUAAUAUGAACUCCUGAUGUCAUCACUUUCCUAGCGAUUAUUCCUCUCAUAUAUUAUUCGCUUAGUACUAAAUGUUAUCUUAUUGUCUCACACCUCCGAACUUUUGAUCCUGGUUGGGAGAAUUUCGAUCUUAAUUGUCGUAUUUAAUAUCCUUCAAUUGCGACAUUCCUUUAUUA